This 730-nucleotide long non-coding RNA is filed under the name Homo sapiens (human). Its description in RNAcentral is "non-protein coding lnc-SERPINI1-23:7". Lineage: Eukaryota; Metazoa; Chordata; Mammalia; Primates; Hominidae. The record is from RNAcentral.
AAAAGAGGCUGCAGAUUCUUAGUGGACAGCUCUCAUAUCCCCUCCAGGGAAAAUGAUGAAAAAUGUCUUCAGAAAAAUAGCUUUAUGAAGGCAAGAGGACUUUUUGCACCUGCAAGACAUGUCUGAAAGCUCCUCAGGUCAAAACACAAGUAGUCAAGAGAUUUGUCCAUCUAAUUCAUCAUACUACUCUGAUCCAAGUGAGACCCACACUGGGUCAGCUCCAUCAAGGAGAAGAACAUUCCACCCACGUUUGGAUUCUGGAAUAUCAUCCUUGCUUCCAUCAGAUUCUUGUAAGUACCUCACUUGGCACAAGGUAGACAUGACGUUCAAGGAAGUCAACUGCGUUGCCCAAGAGUAAGAGAAGGUAAAAGAAUAAAUGUGUGCCUUUUUCGUGUACAUCCUCUGAAUAGAAUUUUUUGUGGAUUAAAAGACAUUACUUGAAGAAAAAAAAAAGACACCAUUUGGAGGAAUCUCUGAAGAAGAGCAACUUUUCAGACAGGUAGAGUGUGCCUUGCUCCCAAGGAAAAGAGUUCUUGAAAAAAACAAAUGGGAAACAUGGCUACAAGAAAACUGGGAAGACUGCAAGAAAAUCUCAGAAUCUGCUUGAGAAUCCGGUCCUUCUUCCUCCAUACACCCAUGGAACACUCCCAAACUCUGUAUGCUGCUCACUAAUUCUGAUUAAGGUCUUCACCCUCCCUACCUUGGAAAUUGCUACAACAUAAUUGUGUUU